GGGUUGUGAGGUUAAGCGACUAAGCGUACACGGUGGAUGCCCUGGCAGUCAGAGGCGAUGAAGGACGUGCUAAUCUGCGAAAAGCGUCGGUAAGGUGAUAUGAACCGUUAUAGCCGGCGAUGUCCGAAUGGGGAAACCCAGUGCAAUUCGUUGCACUAUCGUUAACUGAAUACAUAGGUUAACGAGGCGAACCGGGGGAACUGAAACAUCUAAGUACCCCGAGGAAAAGAAAUCAACCGAGAUUCCCCCAGUAGCGGCGAGCGAACGGGGAGCAGCCCAGAGUCUGAAUCAGCUUGUGUGUUAGUGGAACGGUCUGGAAAGUCCGACGGUACAGGGUGAUAGUCCCGUACACCAAAAUGCACAGGUUGUGAACUCGAAGAGUAGGGCGGGACACGUGGUAUCCUGUCUGAAUAUGGGGGGACCAUCCUCCAAGGCUAAAUACUCCUGACUGACCGAUAGUGAACCAGUACCGUGAGGGAAAGGCGAAAAGAACCCCGGCGAGGGGAGUGAAAAAGAACCUGAAACCGUGUACGUACAAGCAGUGGGAGCACCUUCGGGUGUGACUGCGUACCUUUUGUAUAAUGGGUCAGCGACUUAUAUUCUGUAGCAAGGUUAACCGUAUAGGGGAGCCGCAGGGAAACCGAGUCUUAACUGGGCGUUAAGUUGCAGGGUAUAGACCCGAAACCCGGUGAUCUAGCCAUGGGCAGGUUGAAGGUUGGGUAACACUAACUGGAGGACCGAACCGACUAAUGUUGAAAAAUUAGCGGAUGACUUGUGGCUGGGGGUGAAAGGCCAAUCAAACCGGGAGAUAGCUGGUUCUCCCCGAAAGCUAUUUAGGUAGCGCCUCGUGAAUUCAUCUUCGGGGGUAGAGCACUGUUUCGGCUAGGGGGUCAUCCCGACUUACCAACCCGAUGCAAACUACGAAUACCGAAGAAUGUUAUCACGGGAGACACACGGCGGGUGCUAACGUCCGUCGUGAAGAGGGAAACAACCCAGACCGCCAGCUAAGGUCCCAAAGUCAUGGUUAAGUGGGAAACGAUGUGGGAAGGCACAGACAGCCAGGAUGUUGGCUUAGAAGCAGCCAUCAUUUAAAGAAAGCGUAAUAGCUCACUGGUCGAGUCGGCCUGCGCGGAAGAUGUAACGGGGCUAAACCAUGCACCGAAGCUGCGGCAGCGACACUAUGUGUUGUUGGGUAGGGGAGCGUUCUGUAAGCCUGCGAAGGUGUGCUGUGAGGCAUGCUGGAGGUAUCAGAAGUGCGAAUGCUGACAUAAGUAACGAUAAAGCGGGUGAAAAGCCCGCUCGCCGGAAGACCAAGGGUUCCUGUCCAACGUUAAUCGGGGCAGGGUGAGUCGACCCCUAAGGCGAGGCCGAAAGGCGUAGUCGAUGGGAAACAGGUUAAUAUUCCUGUACUUGGUGUUACUGCGAAGGGGGGACGGAGAAGGCUAUGUUAGCCGGGCGACGGUUGUCCCGGUUUAAGCAUGUAGGCUGGUUGUCCAGGCAAAUCCGGAUAAUCAAGGCUGAGGUGUGAUGACGAGGCACUACGGUGCUGAAGUAACAAAUGCCCUGCUUCCAGGAAAAGCCUCUAAGCAUCAGGUAACAUCAAAUCGUACCCCAAACCGACACAGGUGGUCAGGUAGAGAAUACCAAGGCGCUUGAGAGAACUCGGGUGAAGGAACUAGGCAAAAUGGUGCCGUAACUUCGGGAGAAGGCACGCUGGUGUGUAGGUGAAGUCCCUGCGGAUGGAGCUGAGACCAGUCGAAGAUACCAGCUGGCUGCAACUGUUUAUUAAAAACACAGCACUGUGCAAACACGAAAGUGGACGUAUACGGUGUGACGCCUGCCCGGUGCCGGAAGGUUAAUUGAUGGGGUUAUCCGUAAGGAGAAGCUCUUGAUCGAAGCCCCGGUAAACGGCGGCCGUAACUAUAACGGUCCUAAGGUAGCGAAAUUCCUUGUCGGGUAAGUUCCGACCUGCACGAAUGGCGUAAUGAUGGCCAGGCUGUCUCCACCCGAGACUCAGUGAAAUUGAACUCGCUGUGAAGAUGCAGUGUACCCGCGGCAAGACGGAAAGACCCCGUGAACCUUUACUAUAGCUUGACACUGAACAUUGAGCCUUGAUGUGUAGGAUAGGUGGGAGGCUUUGAAGCGUGGACGCCAGUCUGCGUGGAGCCAACCUUGAAAUACCACCCUUUAAUGUUUGAUGUUCUAACGUUGGCCCCUGACCGGGGUUGCGGACAGUGUCUGGUGGGUAGUUUGACUGGGGCGGUCUCCUCCCAAAGCGUAACGGAGGAGCACGAAGGUUAGCUAAUCCUGGUCGGACAUCAGGAGGUUAGUGCAAUGGCAUAAGCUAGCUUGACUGCGAGCGUGACGGCGCGAGCAGGUGCGAAAGCAGGUCAUAGUGAUCCGGUGGUUCUGAAUGGAAGGGCCAUCGCUCAACGGAUAAAAGGUACUCCGGGGAUAACAGGCUGAUACCGCCCAAGAGUUCAUAUCGACGGCGGUGUUUGGCACCUCGAUGUCGGCUCAUCACAUCCUGGGGCUGAAGUAGGUCCCAAGGGUAUGGCUGUUCGCCAUUUAAAGUGGUACGCGAGCUGGGUUUAGAACGUCGUGAGACAGUUCGGUCCCUAUCUGCCGUGGGCGCUGGAGAAUUGAGGGGGGCUGCUCCUAGUACGAGAGGACCGGAGUGGACGCAUCACUGGUGUUCGGGUUGUCAUGCCAAUGGCACUGCCCGGUAGCUAAAUGCGGAAGAGAUAAGUGCUGAAAGCAUCUAAGCACGAAACUUGCCCCGAGAUGAGUUCUCCCUGAGACUUUAAGUCUCCUGAAGGAACGUUAAAGACGAUGACGUUGAUAGGCCGGGUGUGUAAGCGCAGCGAUGCGUUGAGCUAACCGGUACUAAUGAACCGUGAGGCUUAACCUUACAACGCCGAAG
RNAcentral lists this ribosomal RNA (2923 nucleotides) under Klebsiella pneumoniae. Its description in RNAcentral is "23S ribosomal RNA". It matches the Rfam family "Bacterial large subunit ribosomal RNA". Lineage: Bacteria; Pseudomonadati; Pseudomonadota; Gammaproteobacteria; Enterobacterales; Enterobacteriaceae. The record is from RNAcentral.